This is a long non-coding RNA of Thamnophis elegans (Western terrestrial garter snake), 2281 nucleotides long. RefSeq lists it as uncharacterized. The transcript has 4 exons. Lineage: Eukaryota; Metazoa; Chordata; Lepidosauria; Squamata; Natricidae. The record is from RefSeq and is a predicted model, not a curated record.
CAAACCAGCAGAAAUGGCGCCUCAGCCGUCGCUGCAGUCGCGUGUAGCCGAGCCAGGGGCGUCCCUGGUGGGCUUCGUUGCCCGCUGCCAGAGCCGUUUCCUCGAGGCAGCAGCUGAAAUGGAGGGCAGUAAAGAUUGAUGAGGUGGAAAGACCAGUGGGCCACAUGGUAGAUCAAGUUCUCCAGAGAUCCACAACAGGAAAAGAAAAGCACACAGAAAAGAGAUGACAUAUCAAACAUAAAGCCCACGGGCCGGAUGGGCUCAUAUCUCACCUGUGGGGCCGCCCUGGAGAUGGUGAGGGACCAGCUUAGCCCAGCCGGGUGUCGAUGUGACAUUCACACAGGAGGCAGCAAGCUCAUGGGAGCUGAUGGCAUCCAGCAACAGCUGCAGCCUGCUGGCCCCUUGGCUGGUGCACUCGGGCUGCGCAAUCUGUCGACUACGUUUGCAAAUGUGGUCGAAAGUCAUAGAGGAGAUAACGGAUAGGACCGAUCCAGUAUCUAGCUUCAUGGAGCAUGGGACCCCUGAAGUUUUAGUUGCAGUCUUAUCUUUUCUUUGUUGGGCCAUUGGGCCAUUUAAGCUGUUCGUAGUGCAUUGGCAACACAGCUGUCAGUGAUUUUAUCCCAUGACAGUGACUAUAGGCAAGACACACUUGUCUUUGUACUCCUCACCUGGUUGCUGCCAUGCGCACGCUUGACACCAUCUGAACCAAAUAAGUUUACCUUGGUCUCAUUGGACCACAGGACAUGGUUCCAGAAACCCAUGUUCUUAGCCUGCUUGUCUCCAGCAAGCCAUUCUUGUGCAUCAUCUGUAGAAGAGACUUCCUUCUGGGAACGGCAGCCCUGCAGACCAAUUUGAUGCAGCGUGCGGUGUAUGGUCUGAGCAUUGGCAGGCUGACUCUCCCACCCCUUCAACCUCUGCAGCAAUGCUGGCAGCACUCAUGCGCCUAUUUCUCAAAGCCAACCUCCGGAUAUGACGCUGAGCAAGGGCACUCGGCUUCUUUGGUCAACUAUGGCGAGGCCUGUUCUGAGUGGAACCUGCCCUGUUAAACCGCUGUAUAGUUUUGGCUACCAUGCUGAAGCUCAGUUUCAGGGUCUUGCGGGAGCAGCAAGCGGAGGCAGCGAGGAUUCAGAGAGCAGCCAGCAGUUCAACUUCGCACACGAGGUAGCAGCAAUAGGAGCCGAAUGAACUUUUGGUUUCUGCGCCCAUGCGCACGGGCCAAUCAGCUAGCCACUGUUUGGGUUUCUGGCUGAUGGCGUGCGCAUUAACGCCAGAAACCCGGAAGAUGAAUCGGUGACGCGUGAUGUGUCAGGCGACAUAGCUCUGCGUGCCACCUGUGGCAUGCGUAUCAGGUUCGCAAUCACAGGGAUAGGUGUUUUGCUGAAGCGCCUUAAUCAUACAUUUGUAAUCAGCGCAGAUGCGGACUGAGCCGUCAGGUUUUAUCGGCUGACCAAUAGGAGUCUCCCACUUUGCAUCGUCUACUGGCUCCAAGACCCCCUGGCCAAUUAGCUUGCCUAAUCCACUGUCAAUUUUGGGCCGGAGAACAAAAGGGACCCUUUGUGGCUUCAUCUGGAUAGGGGCAAUUUUGGGGUCUAGGCUAAAAGAGAUGGGCGUCCCCGCAUACUUGCCCAAACUCCCGUUGAAUACGUCCGCAAACUCCUUGACCCCCUCGUCAUUGCUGUCAUCUUUGAAGGGGGGAUGCCAGUCCAUGCCCAGGGAUGUGAACCAGUCCAAGGCAAGUCUUGGCAAGGCGCCGUCCACCAAAUAGAGAUUGAAUUAUCUCAUACUCAUCUUUAUUUAAAGGGCUUCUGGAUCUGUUCUCUGGGAUGCAAAUUUGCCUUGUUUGAAGCUUCUCAAAUCAUCUUUAUGCCAUCAUUGGAAGCCUGGGAAUAAAAUCCAGCCAGAGUAAAAUUUGCAGCAAUUUUCAUUCCACAACAGAUGUAAUAUAGAGAGUCUGGAAGAAACAUGAGGUGUUUCAAGUUUUCAACAGUCUUUGAAAAUUAUGGUUGGACCAGAAGAUAUUAACAGAUGCAUCCUUUGAAAAUACAGAUGAAACAUCAAAGCACAUAAAGAAGUGCAGUUAAAGCCCCUCUCACCUUCAGUCCUCUAAAAAUGAAUGUUUCCGGCAGAUGCACCAUGAUCUCUGCUAACUAUUUUCAAGAUAAAUGACUGGAUGAGAUAUUUUGAUUACAUUGUUCUCUUUCUCAAGAGGGGAUGAAGGCUGCUUCCCUUUUGAGAGCUGUUGCACUAGAUAAUUCCGUCUUUUUCUUUUAUCGUUUUAGAA